CUCUUAUUCAGAGUGGUGGAGGUACAAAGGACCUGUGAAGCUACGGCAACCCCGUUAUUUGGAGCGGAAGGUGCCAACCUGAGCGAGUUACUGUUUACAUGAAAAUGGCGAUAGUUCGAACAAUAAGAG
RNAcentral lists this non-coding RNA (129 nucleotides) under Lachnospiraceae bacterium MD335. Its description in RNAcentral is "Lachnospiraceae bacterium COE1 SAM riboswitch aptamer (S box leader)". It matches the Rfam family "SAM riboswitch aptamer (S box leader)". Rfam says of the family: The SAM riboswitch is found upstream of a number of genes which code for proteins involved in methionine or cysteine biosynthesis in Gram-positive bacteria. RNAcentral also lists the same sequence under 1 other name. The record is from Rfam by way of RNAcentral. Lineage: Bacteria; Bacillati; Bacillota; Clostridia; Lachnospirales; Lachnospiraceae.